This 665-nucleotide ribosomal RNA is filed under the name Micrococcus sp. V4.MO.30. Its description in RNAcentral is "bacterial SSU rRNA". It matches the Rfam family "Bacterial small subunit ribosomal RNA", at positions 384 to 1060 of the family's 1533-position model. Lineage: Bacteria; Bacillati; Actinomycetota; Actinomycetes; Micrococcales; Micrococcaceae. The record is from RNAcentral.
UGAUGCAGCGACGCCGCGUGAGGGAUGACGGCCUUCGGGUUGUAAACUUCUUUCAGUAGGAAGAAGCGAAAGUGACGGUAACUGCAGAAGAAGCACCGGCUAACUACGUGCCAGCAGCCGCGGUAAUACGUAGGGUGCGAGCGUUAUCCGGAAUUAUUGGGCGUAAAGAGCUCGUAGGCGGUUUGUCGCGUCUGUCGUGAAAGUCCGGGGCUUAACCCCGGAUCUGCGGUGGGUACGGGCAGACUAGAGUGCAGUAGGGGAGACUGGAAUUCCUGGUGUAGCGGUGGAAUGCGCAGAUAUCAGGAGGAACACCGAUGGCGAAGGCAGGUCUCUGGGCUGUAACUGACGCUGAGGAGCGAAAGCAUGGGGAGCGAACAGGAUUAGAUACCCUGGUAGUCCAUGCCGUAAACGUUGGGCACUAGGUGUGGGGACCAUUCCACGGUUUCCGCGCCGCAGCUAACGCAUUAAGUGCCCCGCCUGGGGAGUACGGCCGCAAGGCUAAAACUCAAAGGAAUUGACGGGGGCCCGCACAAGCGGCGGAGCAUGCGGAUUAAUUCGAUGCAACGCGAAGAACCUUACCAAGGCUUGACAUGUUCUCGAUCGCCGUAGAGAUACGGUUUCCCCUUUGGGGCGGGUUCACAGGUGGUGCAUGGUUGUCGUCAGCU